CCAAGGAGUCUACCCAUUAUGCGAGUGUUAGGGUGUAAAAACCCAAACGCAGACCGAAAGGGAUGCAAGAUGUGACGCGCAAGGUGCCACAUCAACCAAUCUUGAUUCUCCGAUGAAGGACUUGAGUAAGAGCAUAAUUGGUAGGACCCGAAAGAUGGUGAACUACGCUUGAGUAGGGUGAAGUCAGGGGAAACUCUGAUGGAGGCUCGAAGCGUUUCUGACGUGCAAAUCGUUCGUCAAACUUGACUGUAGGGGCGAAAGACUAAUCCAACCAUCUAGUAGCUGGUUCCCCCCGAAGUUUCCCUCAGGAUAGCUGGUGCUCGCAGAGGAGACGAACGGAGUUUCAUCCGGUAAAGCGAAUGAUUAGAGGCCUUGGGGUCGAAACGACCUCAACCUAUUCUCAAACUUUCAAUGGGUGAGACGCCCGGCCUUUUGUUUUGACUAAGGCCGUCGGCAGUAGAAUCUGAGCGCCCAGUGGGCCAAUUUUGGUAAGCAGAACUGGCGAUGUGGGAUGAACCAAACGCGCGGUUAAGGCGCCCGAACGGACGCACAUUUCGGAUCCCACGAAAAGGAGUUGGUUGCUAAAGACAGCAGGACGGUGGCCAUGGAGGUCGGAAUCCGCUCAGGAGUGUGUAACAACUCACCUGCCGAAGCAACUAGCCCUUAAAAUGGGAGGCGCUAUAGCGUCCUGCCUAUACCGUGCCGUCGGUCGGCAGUGUUAACGGCAACGGGAUGUAGAGUCCCGUGCCGCUGAAGCCCCGACGAGUAGGGGGGUGCGCGACGGUGAGCGUAGAAGGGUUGCGGGCGUGAGCCUGCCCGGAGCCGCCGUCGGUGCAGAUCUUGGUGGUAGUAGCAAAUACUCCAGAGG
Molecule: ribosomal RNA, 868 nt
Filed under: Ilyocryptus agilis
Lineage: Eukaryota; Metazoa; Arthropoda; Branchiopoda; Diplostraca; Macrotrichidae
Description: eukaryotic LSU rRNA
Rfam family: Eukaryotic large subunit ribosomal RNA
Source: RNAcentral